RNAcentral lists this long non-coding RNA (1274 nucleotides) under Betta splendens (Siamese fighting fish). Its description in RNAcentral is "lncRNA (ENSBSLG00000003859.1)". The record is from RNAcentral. Lineage: Eukaryota; Metazoa; Chordata; Actinopteri; Anabantiformes; Osphronemidae.
UCCUUGUGGACACUCGCUGUUCAGAGUCGAGAGGGGUCUCCCAGGCGUGCCGCCCGCAGUGAUUCUUUGCAAGCCUCAAAGUGCAGAGGAGCAGCGUGGGAAAACGGCUCAUUGCAGAUCCAAAGAGGUGCCGACGCUACAGGUCCUAAGGAGCGCUGCCUAUGACAGGGUUCUGCCUAAAGGGUUCAGGUCAAAGAUUCACCUCUUCAAUCAAUCUGUGUGUCUGCUACCUGGGACCAUGGAUGUCAUUGGCCCACGUGUGCUAGGAUUUCCAGCGUGUGUCGCAGUUUUGUAUGCGUUUAAUGCCUUUGAUCAGCUCACCGCCGAGAAGUCACGCAAAGUGAGCGGCCCCGUGCAGCUGUCGUUUGUGUCCUCGCUGAGCCUCAGAGAGUCCCAAGCCCUGCUUUUGUCUUACAUGUGUCUGGAAGAGUCCUUUGUGCCCUCGGAGGCAAAUUUCAUCAGUUGGGAAGUGAAAUCUCAUUCUGUUCUCACAGAACUCAGAAAGCUUGUAGCAGCAAACCCGACCGUGCACUCUGGGCUGGGCGGUUUGAAGCUCUCCCUCGGUGAGAAGAUAAUGCGAGCAGACCUGAAAGAUGAAAUUUUACGCAUCACAGACCGAUUAGCCCACAGCGAGGCGAGUGUGGAGGACUCUGACGUGGAGGAAUGCGAGGACAGAGGUGAAGAAGGCAGCGUCGCGAGCAGGGAGGAUGAGUGGGACGGGAAUGAAAGAGAGGACUCUGGCGAGAGAGAGAAGCAAAGGGAAAGGGGCUUUGAGGGUAAUCACCAUCCCAAACAUUACCAAAACCACCACCAAAACUCUAGCGAGGAACAUGAGGACACAGAGGGCGACGACAGGGCUUUGUCAAACCUAUCCAGACUCAUCCGUGCCUCUCCGGGGGUCGGUCAGAGAACGGGACAUUCGGUCCUGUUUGGGCGCGGAAGGGGCGGCGAUGCAAGUUUUAAGUGGAUCACAAUCGGGAUACGGACGCUGGGCCUGCUCAACUUGAAAAUACUGAGGGCUUGCGGCCUGUUCGACACGAAGCACGGGUGCGCCAGAGCCGUCUUGAAGAUACCAAACACCAACGGGGUUCAGCCAGAGCCCCGCUGGCUAGGAAAACCCACGUUGCUCACGGACGACUUGUGCGUCAUCGUGCCGGGUCGAGGAUCCCAGGAUGCCCUGCUGCCGUGGCAUCGCGACGGCUGCUUCUUUCAACUCAAUUACUCUCCCGAGUCUUCUGAAACAAAGGGGACCGGCCACUGCGGCUCCCGCCUAG